GACGGAGGGUGCUAGCGUUGUCCGGAAUUAUUGGGCGUAAAGAGCGCGCAGGCGGUAUGACAAGUCAGAUGUGAAAGAGGCCGGCUUAACCGGCAAGGGUCAUUUGAAACUGUCAGACUAGAGUGCAGCAGAGGAUAGUGGAAUUCCGGGUGUAGCGGUGGAAUGCGCAGAUAUCAGGAGGAACACCGGUGGCGAAGGCGGGUCUCUGGGCCGUUACUGACGCUGAGGAGCGAAAGCGUGGGGAGCGAACAGG
This 253-nucleotide ribosomal RNA is filed under the name uncultured bacterium. RNAcentral describes it as "partial 16S ribosomal RNA". It matches the Rfam family "Bacterial small subunit ribosomal RNA", at positions 524 to 776 of the family's 1533-position model. The record is from RNAcentral.